RNAcentral lists this ribosomal RNA (301 nucleotides) under uncultured bacterium. RNAcentral describes it as "partial 16S ribosomal RNA". It matches the Rfam family "Bacterial small subunit ribosomal RNA", at positions 509 to 807 of the family's 1533-position model. The record is from RNAcentral.
CAGCCGCCGCGGUAAUGCAGAGGAUGCAAGCGUUGUCCGGAAUGAUUGGGCGUAAAGGGUGCGUAGGCGGCUUGACAAGUCUUGUGUGAAAUCUAUGGGCUCAACCCAUAGUCUGCACGGGAAACUGUCGGGCUUGAGAAUGGGAGAGGUGAGUGGAAUUUCCGGUGUAGCGGUGAAAUGCGUAGAUAUCGGAAGGAACACCUGUGGCGAAAGCGGCUCACUGGACCAUUUCUGACGCUGAUGCACGAAAGCUAGGGGAGCAAACAGGAUUAGAUACCCCCGUAGUCCCUGUCUCUUAUAC